AGGGGUGUAGUACAAUGGUAGUACAACGGUCUCCAAAACCGCUGACGUGGGUUCAAUUCCUAUCACCCCUGCCA
This 74-nucleotide transfer RNA is filed under the name Bacillota bacterium. RNAcentral's name for it is "tRNA-Trp". It matches the Rfam family "tRNA". Rfam says of the family: Transfer RNA (tRNA) molecules are approximately 80 nucleotides in length. Their secondary structure includes four short double-helical elements and three loops (D, anti-codon, and T loops). Lineage: Bacteria; Bacillati; Bacillota. RNAcentral also lists the same sequence under 1 other name. The record is from RNAcentral.